RNAcentral lists this ribosomal RNA (508 nucleotides) under uncultured bacterium. Its description in RNAcentral is "bacterial SSU rRNA". It matches the Rfam family "Bacterial small subunit ribosomal RNA", at positions 791 to 1297 of the family's 1533-position model. The record is from RNAcentral.
UAGUCCACGCCGUAAACGAUGAGAACUAGAUGUUGGGAGGAAUAGCCUUUCGGUGUCGCAGCUAACGCAUUAAGUUCUCCGCCUGGGGAGUACGCCGGCAACGGUAAAACUCAAAGGAAUUGACGGGGACCCGCACAAGCGGUGGAGCAUGUGGUUUAAUUCGAUGCAACGCGAAGAACCUUACCUGCCCUUGACAUACAGAGAACUUUCCAGAGAUGGAUUGGUGCCUUCGGGAACUCUGAUACAGGUGCUGCAUGGCCGUCGUCAGCUCGUGUCGUGAGAUGUUGGGUUAAGUCCCGCAACGAGCGCAACCCUUGUCCUUAGUUGCCAUCAGGUAAUGCUGGGAACUCUAAUGGGACUGCCGGUGUUAAGCCGGAGGAAGGCGAGGAUGAUGUCAAGUCCUCAUGGCCCUUAUGACCAGGGCUACACACGUACUACAAUGGCAAAGACAAACCGACGCGAAGCCGCGAGGUGAAGCAAAUCGGAAAAACAUUAGUCUCAGUCCGGA